UUUGGAUUUUAUAUAAUACAAUUAGGACUAGCAAUUUUGACUAGUUCGUGCAAUUGGCAUGACAUCUAUAGUUGAAAAUCUGAUAUUGUUUGGAUUAUUGGGUGCUCUAAGUGUAUACAAAAUUUUGUAAUAAUCUAACGGCGUGGUUUAGAGUUAUCAAGUUUUUAGCACAAGAGGGUUUCAGAAGGUGGUAGUUUGAGGUUGGGUAGGGUUUCUAUGAUAUCUAAAGAUCUAUCAAUCGGAUUAAGGUAAAAAUUGGCAUGGUGUUGGAAGACUUAAAGAUAAAGCUACACACAAAUUUUGAGACAAAGUUAAUGGUUGAAGAAGGAGAAAUCAUUGCUGGGAUUUCUGCUUCACUUUUCAAGUUGGCGGCUGAGUGACAUUGGU
This 387-nucleotide long non-coding RNA is filed under the name Physcomitrium patens. RNAcentral describes it as "long non-coding RNA (PPAT_LNC010181)". Lineage: Eukaryota; Viridiplantae; Streptophyta; Bryopsida; Funariales; Funariaceae. The record is from RNAcentral.